AGUGAACGCUGGCGGUAGGCCUAACACAUGCAAGUCGAACGGCAGCACAGUAAGAGCUUGCUCUUACGGGUGGCGAGUGGCGGACGGGUGAGGAAUACAUCGGAAUCUACUUUUUCGUGGGGGAUAACGUAGGGAAACUUACGCUAAUACCGCAUACGACCUACGGGUGAAAGCAGGGGAUCUUCGGACCUUGCGCGAUUGAAUGAGCCGAUGUCGGAUUAGCUAGUUGGCGGGGUAAAGGCCCACCAAGGCGACGAUCCGUAGCUGGUCUGAGAGGAUGAUCAGCCACACUGGAACUGAGACACGGUCCAGACUCCUACGGGAGGCAGCAGUGGGGAGUACUGGACAAUGGGCGCAAGCCUGAUCCAGCCAUACCGCGUGGGUGAAGAAGGCCUUCGGGUUGUAAAGCCCUUUUGUUGGGAAAGAAAAGCAGCAGGUAAUACCCCGCUGUUCUGACGGUACCCAAAGAAUAAGCACCGGCUAACUUCGUG
This 491-nucleotide ribosomal RNA is filed under the name uncultured bacterium. RNAcentral describes it as "partial 16S ribosomal RNA". It matches the Rfam family "Bacterial small subunit ribosomal RNA", at positions 29 to 507 of the family's 1533-position model. The record is from RNAcentral.